UAAGCAUAUCAAUAAGCGGAGGAAAAGAAACCAACAGGGAUUGCCCUAGUAACGGCGAGUGAAGCGGCAACAGCUCAAAUUUGAAAUCUGGCGUCUUUGGCGUCCGAGUUGUAAUUUGCAGAGGGCGCUUUGGCAUUGGCAGCGGUCCAAGUUCCUUGGAACAGGACGUCACAGAGGGUGAGAAUCCCGUACGUGGUCGCUAGCCUUUACCGUGUAAAGCCCCUUCGACGAGUCGAGUUGUUUGGGAAUGCAGCUCUAAAUGGGAGGUAAAUUUCUUCUAAAGCUAAAUACUGGCCAGAGACCGAUAGCGCACAAGUAGAGUGAUCGAAAGAUGAAAAGCACUUUGGAAAGAGAGUUAAAAAGCACGUGAAAUUGUUGAAAGGGAAGCGCUUGCAGCCAGACUUGCCUGUAGUUGCUCAUCCGGGUUUCUACCCGGUGCACUCUUCUAUAGGCAGGCCAGCAUCAGUUUGGGCGGUUGGAUAAAGGUCUCUGUCAUGUACCUCCUCUCGGGGAGAACUUAUAGGGGAGACGACAUGCAACCAGCCUGGACUGAGGUCCGCGCAUCUGCUAGGAUGCUGGCGUAAUGGCUGUAAGCGGCCCGUCUUGAAACACGGACCAAGGAGUCUAACAUCUAUGCGAGUGUUUGGGUGUCAAGCCCGAACGCGUAAUGAAAGUGAACGGAGGUGGGAACCUUUCGGGGUGCACCAUCGACCGAUCCUGAUGUCUUCGGAUGGAUUUGAGUAAGAGCAUAGCUGUUGGGACCCGAAAGAUGGUGAACUAUGCUUGAAUAGGGUGAAGCCAGAGGAAACUCUGGUGGAGGCUCGCAGCGGUUCUGACGUGCAAAUCGAUCGUCAAAUUUGGGCAUAGGGGCGAAAGACUAAUCGAACUAUCUAGUAGCUGGUUCCUGC
This 908-nucleotide ribosomal RNA is filed under the name Longididymella vitalbae. RNAcentral describes it as "partial large subunit ribosomal RNA". It matches the Rfam family "Eukaryotic large subunit ribosomal RNA", at positions 35 to 961 of the family's 3401-position model. The record is from RNAcentral. Lineage: Eukaryota; Fungi; Ascomycota; Dothideomycetes; Pleosporales; Didymellaceae.